Mesocricetus auratus (golden hamster) is the source of this 2601-nucleotide long non-coding RNA. RefSeq lists it as uncharacterized. The record is from RefSeq and is a predicted model, not a curated record. NCBI's taxonomy places the organism in Eukaryota, Metazoa, Chordata, Mammalia, Rodentia, Cricetidae. The transcript has 4 exons.
UUCUUGCUCAGUUGUGUUGCUUGUGUUAGAGCAGCCAGUGAGAAGUCAAGAAGGCUCCCAGCUGUUUCAACCAUCCUGAUAGCCGAGAGGACCACAUUGGAAAGAAGAAUGCAACACACAUCUAAGAAUGGAAAGGAACAGCCGGGCAAAUGAAGAGAACCUAGCUCACCUCAGCAAGAACUACUGGAAAUAUGGCAUAAAUCCUCCAAUAGAUUAAUCAGUACUCAGAGAAACGUUGAUGUGGGAAAGUGAAGAUCUCGAGAUGGGAACAGAAUAAUCAAAAGAGACAGUCCCUGGCUUCAUCUGUCUGAUGUCACCCCUCAGUUGGAUCCACGUGGGGAAGAGAAUCUGGGAAGUGCCAUGGCUGGCCCAGAACAAGAGACACAGUGUGGAGUGAAGAGAGCACAGUGGCCGACUGUGUCUGAGUGGUUACAGGUCACGUGGUGUGGCCUGCAGGGGACAGUGCAAGAAACAGCAGCCCUGCUUUGCAAUCAGGAUAGGCAGCUGGCCAGUCUUCUGAACGAGCAGCAAAUAACCCCCUUCAUUCUAUCCAGUGUGUCAUGGAGACAGAAAGGAAGUCACUUAACCUGGUCCUUUACCUGGGUGCCAACCCUGUGCCAUCGUUCAAGCACACUGUUAAAGUUAACACUCUUACCAUCACUUCCCCGAGCAAAGACUGGAGCAAGCAUGGUUACAGGGAGUUAUAAAGCUGUCCUGCAAUAGCCAGGGUUUGGGGAUUGUCAAGAGGCCUCUCAGGAACUGGUCAGAGCAGCAACUCGUCUUAGGAGGGAGGAAUGUCUGUCACUCAGACUUUGGAUUCUGAGCUACUCUGGGUUUGCUUUUGUUGUUUUUCUUUUAUUGUUGUAGUCAAGGGGGAUGGUUUAAUUAUUUCUUGAGACAGGGUCUUACCAUGUGGCCAAGGCUUAGCUCCAACUCUCUACAUAGCUAAUGCUGCCUGAAAACUUGCAACUUCCUGAGAGAUAAGAUUACAGGCACAUACUACACACUCAGCCUCUGCAUGUCUUUUUGAUCCCAUCUCCAGAAAUGAGCAUUCCCUGCCCUCCAUGAAUGUGGCAGGAAACACUCAUGUUAGUCUCUUUAUGGGUCUCUUUUUAGUAAUUAAAACCUUAUCACAAAGAACUUGAAAACUAAAAACAUCACACACUAGCAUUCACCAUGUGCAGAGUCUGGAAGUUUCAGUGAAUGUCUGCUUGGUUAGAACAGCCCUUCUCAAGUGGCACAGCGCUACACUGCAAGCCACACCCUCACUGUUGAACUUGUUCUUAUACACUCAUCCACCACCAAAGCCCAAAACUCCCACAACUGGGUUGAAACUAGAGAAACAACUAACUUUAUAUUCUUUCAUGAAUUGUGUCCAUCACCUGCAUCUGGUCCUUCCUUGUUCCCUAAUAUCUAUCCUUUUUAUAAAAUAUACUGUACCCACAAAUACAUUUAUUUAUAUAGAUACAUGGCUAGGAUGUGGGCCCUACUAUUCAACUCUUAAAAAAUUCAAAGGAAAAUGGAUACACUUAGUAAGUACAACACUAAGAGACCACACAACCUCAGGAAGAAAAAUCCACACACUCUCCUCACAGGUCUUAAAACAUUGACCAGCCUAUUGGAACCCCAAUUCUAAACUCCUGGUGGGGAGACAACAUCCCCACUGACUAAGCUUGAGGAGGAUUCUCACAUGCUCCGCCCUAUUCCACGAGCAUUUUACACAAGAACGUUUCAUAGGUGCUAAAGCACCACACAGACAGAAGACCGCAUGGGAUCGUUUCCAGUAAGAACUGUUCUGAACUGUGUAAAAAUUCCAAGGAAGGCUGUCCAUCUCAGGACAGUGCUGUCACACAGAGGCCGUGUAGUCAGCCUGCACAUUCCAAGGGUGCCACCCCCCCCCCCCGUCCCUCAUCAGGUCUGUAAGCAUGACAAGCCCCUUAACUCACGAAGCCCAAGGAAGUGGUAGCGUUGGUUUCAUGAGAUUUCCAGGCAGCAUAAUGGAGGCUCACAUGCUGAGGACUGUGCAAGUUACUUCCUCUGCUGCAUAAAACACUGACCAAAAGCAACUGGAGAAGGAAAGAUCUUACUUCUGCUCAUAGAUCAUGGUCCAUCGUUAAGGGAAGCCAGGGCAGAAGCUGGGAGCCUGGACCUGAAGCCAGGAACUGAGGCAGAAACCAUGGAAUAACAUAGUUUGCUGGCUUGCACACAGGUUCAUGAUCAGCUACUUUUAUAAAACCCUGCCUAGGAAUGGUACUGCCCACAGCAUAGUAGAUCCUCCUAUAUUAAUUAAUGUCCCACAGACAGGCCAAUCUGAUGGAGGCAAGCCCUUAACUGUGGGUCUCUCUACCCAGGAGUGUCACACUAACAUCCAAGACGCACCAUCACAAGAACUCUAUCCAGGCAGGAAUGAUGGCAUUGAAAAUUGUCCUGGUUAUGACAAGGAUAGUAAGCUGACAAGAACUUUCUACUCUCAGACCCCAGACUGCUCAGGACUUGUGGUAAACAGUCCCUGCUGUCCAGCCUGCUCUGUGUCCAGUUUGCAGGAGGAUGAUUUUAUCCCUUCCUUCUAAGCAUGAGCCCUAGUCAAUAAAUUACAAAAGG